CCAAGAGUUAGAGCAAAAGCUCCCAAAGUAUGGGAGUAUUUCAGGCCAACUGGUAAAAGAGUUGUCUGUACACUCUGUCAAACUUCACUUGCUUAUUACGCGAGUACAACCACGCACCUAAAAAGGAAUGGAAACACACAGGAGUUCAAGGAGGAGUUUUUUUUUCUUCCCUCCAUGUCACCUCCGGGGCUCCGUAAAGAUGCGCCCACAGAAAAGGAAAAGACAACGAACCAGUACGCCGUCUUCACAACUCAGAGACAAAUUGUAGGCGCUACGAACCGGAGCAAGGACUAACCUCGCCUCAUAACGAGGCUGUGACCUAUUUGCUCGGAGCUAUGUCUGCAAGUCUAGAUUUACAUGAUGCUGACAAUGACGGCAUUGUGUCUGCUUGUAAUUACGAGACAGUAAGCAGAGCUUCAGGUAGAAACAACCAGAUCUUAUAUCGCAGGCGGAAGCUGUGAAGAGUUCAGCUCGGAGUCCAGCGAGAAGAAAGAGGCUGCUGGAAGCGAGACAUUGUGCAUCCUUUUCGCAGCCAGCAGAAGUACAGGGCAACGCACCACAGACGUCUGCAAAACGGACCGAAUUAAGACAGAAUGCCGUCAGUUACCUUUUUUUUUUACCAGUUUACCAUUUGUUGUGUAGGCUGUAUUUGUU
Long non-coding RNA from Sander lucioperca (pikeperch), 654 nucleotides. RefSeq lists it as uncharacterized. NCBI's taxonomy places the organism in Eukaryota, Metazoa, Chordata, Actinopteri, Perciformes, Percidae. The record is from RefSeq and is a predicted model, not a curated record. The transcript has 5 exons.